CUCAGGACGAACGCUGGCGGCGUGCCUAAUACAUGCAAGUCGAACGCUUCUUUUCCCACCGGAGCUUGCUCCACCGGGAAAAGAGGAGUGGCGAACGGGUGAGUAACACGUGGGUAACCUGCCCAUCAGAAGGGGAUAACACUUGGAAACAGGUGCUAAUACCGUAUAACAAUCGAAACCGCAUGGUUUCGUUUUGAAAGGCGCUUUACGGUGCCGCUGAUGGAUGGACCCGCGGUGCAUUAGCUAGUUGGUGAGGUAACGGCUCACCAAGGCCACGAUGCAUAGCCGACCUGAGAGGGUGAUCGGCCACAUUGGGACUGAGACACGGCCCAAACUCCUACGGGAGGCAGCAGUAGGGAAUCUUCGGCAAUGGACGAAAGUCUGACCGAGCAACGCCGCGUGAGUGAAGAAGGUUUUCGGAUCGUAAAACUCUGUUGUUAGAGAAGAACAAGGGUGAGAGUAACUGUUCACCCCUUGACGGUAUCUAACCAGAAAGCCACGGCUAACUACGUGCCAGCAGCCGCGGUAAUACGUAGGUGGCAAGCGUUGUCCGGAUUUAUUGGGCGUAAAGCGAGCGCAGGCGGUUUCUUAAGUCUGAUGUGAAAGCCCCCGGCUCAACCGGGGAGGGUCAUUGGAAACUGGGAGACU
Molecule: ribosomal RNA, 648 nt
Filed under: Enterococcus mundtii
Lineage: Bacteria; Bacillati; Bacillota; Bacilli; Lactobacillales; Enterococcaceae
Description: bacterial SSU rRNA
Rfam family: Bacterial small subunit ribosomal RNA
Source: RNAcentral